UAUUGAGAUAGUUUAAUAAAAAUAUUGAUUUGUGGAAUCAAAGUUCUUGUUGUUUCAAU
Molecule: transfer RNA, 59 nt
Filed under: Trioza remota
Lineage: Eukaryota; Metazoa; Arthropoda; Insecta; Hemiptera; Triozidae
Description: tRNA-His
Source: RNAcentral